RNAcentral lists this long non-coding RNA (1056 nucleotides) under Callithrix jacchus (white-tufted-ear marmoset). RNAcentral's name for it is "lncRNA (ENSCJAG00000070997.1)". The record is from RNAcentral. Lineage: Eukaryota; Metazoa; Chordata; Mammalia; Primates; Cebidae.
UUUCAAUGAAACUUUUUUUUAAAUAGAAAAGACUAUUGAAACAUAAUGCUAAACUUCUGUCUAGUAAGAUUUCCCCCAUCACUCUCUCAUUAGUAUUAUGAGAAAACACUGGCUUUUCCUCAUCCCUAAGUAGCACUUGUGAUGACUGAGAGGUUAUGGUGACACUUCACUAUUUUCCUUUGCAUUUAUUUGACUACUAGUAAAACUUACUUCAUUCAAAGGUUUAAAGAAAGUGUAUUGGGCUUUUUAAAUGCAGGAUGAAAUUUAACUAACACUGGCUAUUCUUAUUACAUUUCUGGGCAGGGCAAUUCCCAGAAGACCUUGGAUUUGGAAUGACUUGGCAAUUAUUUGUAUAAGUUGGACAAAAAGAGAAGACUGAGGAGACUGGACAACAUAUAAAUGCAGGAGGAUGUUCAGUCUGGGAUGCCAGCAGACACGUGAUUUCAUAGAAAAAUCUUGAAAGUGAUUCCAUGGUCAGAAAUUUGAUUCUAUGGAUUUGCAUAAACUAUCUGUUUGGCUGGCCCAACUACUUGGAGAGUUUGCAGUAUAAAAACAGCACAAAAGGGUGGAGCGUGUCCACACUGGGCAAGAGAUUGACAAGCCCAUUUGUCACACCCAGGGGUUUAAUACUGAUGCAAAAGCUGUUGGUGAAUCAUGGAAUUGAGGGACCCCUUUGGGGAAACUUGUGGACAUGUGAGAAUGGAAGACAAUCACCCUGUGACACCACACUGACUUCACACCAUGUGAACCACAGCAGAGGUGGCAAGCACAACCUUGUGAUGCUGGAUGCAUAACUGAGUUACCACCUGAGGAUGCGCAUCUCUUGGGAACAUCAUCUUUCACUGCCACACUUCCUCACACCAUGCAGCCAAUCAAAGUGUUUCUCCCAACAAACACAGAGCCCUCAACCUGAGAAGAAUUCUGGUAAGUUUGUCUCCUUACAUUUCCCAUAAUGCUUUUAGUACCCCUUAUAACUAGUCCCUUGGAAAUGGCCUGAAUUAGAAGCAGGACCAGGGUGUCUCAAGUCAAAAUACAGUUUUCAGUCCUAGUUCUCUG